AUUGAACGCUGGCGGCAUGCCUUACACAUGCAAGUCGAACGGCAGCACGGGUGCUUGCACCUGGUGGCGAGUGGCGAACGGGUGAGUAAUACAUCGGAACAUGUCCUGUAGUGGGGGAUAGCCCGGCGAAAGCCGGAUUAAUACCGCAUACGAUCCACGGAUGAAAGCGGGGGACCUUCGGGCCUCGCGCUAUAGGGUUGGCCGAUGGCUGAUUAGCUAGUUGGUGGGGUAAAGGCCUACCAAGGCGACGAUCAGUAGCUGGUCUGAGAGGACGACCAGCCACACUGGGACUGAGACACGGCCCAGACUCCUACGGGAGGCAGCAGUGGGGAAUUUUGGACAAUGGGCGAAAGCCUGAUCCAGCAAUGCCGCGUGUGUGAAGAAGGCCUUCGGGUUGUAAAGCACUUUUGUCCGGAAAGAAAUCCUUGACUCUAAUACAGCCGGGGGAUGACGGUACCGGAAGAAUAAGCACCGGCUAACUACGUG
RNAcentral lists this ribosomal RNA (486 nucleotides) under uncultured bacterium. RNAcentral describes it as "partial 16S ribosomal RNA". It matches the Rfam family "Bacterial small subunit ribosomal RNA", at positions 30 to 507 of the family's 1533-position model. The record is from RNAcentral.